Molecule: ribosomal RNA, 1379 nt
Filed under: Halomonas nitritophilus
Lineage: Bacteria; Pseudomonadati; Pseudomonadota; Gammaproteobacteria; Oceanospirillales; Halomonadaceae
Description: bacterial SSU rRNA
Rfam family: Bacterial small subunit ribosomal RNA
Source: RNAcentral
CUUGCUCCCUGGUGGCGAGCGGCGGACGGGUGAGUAAUGCAUAGGAAUCUGCCCGGUAGUGGGGGAUAACCUGGGGAAACCCAGGCUAAUACCGCAUACGUCCUACGGGAGAAAGCAGGGGACCUUCGGGCCUUGCGCUAUCGGAUGAGCCUAUGUCGGAUUAGCUGGUUGGUGAGGUAAUGGCUCACCAAGGCGACGAUCCGUAGCUGGUCUGAGAGGAUGAUCAGCCACAUCGGGACUGAGACACGGCCCGAACUCCUACGGGAGGCAGCAGUGGGGAAUAUUGGACAAUGGGCGCAAGCCUGAUCCAGCCAUGCCGCGUGUGUGAAGAAGGCCCUCGGGUUGUAAAGCACUUUCAGUGGGGAAGAAAGCCUUCCGGUUAAUACCCGGGAGGAGGGACAUCACCCACAGAAGAAGCACCGGCUAACUCCGUGCCAGCAGCCGCGGUAAUACGGAGGGUGCGAGCGUUAAUCGGAAUUACUGGGCGUAAAGCGCGCGUAGGCGGCUUGAUAAGCCGGUUGUGAAAGCCCCGGGCUCAACCUGGGAACGGCAUCCGGAACUGUCAGGCUAGAGUGCAAGAGAGGAAGGUAGAAUUCCCGGUGUAGCGGUGAAAUGCGUAGAGAUCGGGAGGAAUACCAGUGGCGAAGGCGGCCUUCUGGUACUGACACUGACGCUGAGGUGCGAAAGCGUGGGUAGCAAACAGGAUUAGAUACCCUGGUAGUCCACGCCGUAAACGAUGUCGACUAGCCGUUGGGUCCUUCGCGGACUUUGUGGCGCAGUUAACGCGAUAAGUCGACCGCCUGGGGAGUACGGCCGCAAGGUUAAAACUCAAAUGAAUUGACGGGGGCCCGCACAAGCGGUGGAGCAUGUGGUUUAAUUCGAUGCAACGCGAAGAACCUUACCUACCCUUGACAUCCUGCGAACCCUUCGGAGACGAAGGGGUGCCUUCGGGAACGCAGAGACAGGUGCUGCAUGGCUGUCGUCAGCUCGUGUUGUGAAAUGUUGGGUUAAGUCCCGUAACGAGCGCAACCCUUGUCCCUAUUUGCCAGCGAUUCGGUCGGGAACUCUAGGGAGACUGCCGGUGACAAACCGGAGGAAGGUGGGGACGACGUCAAGUCAUCAUGGCCCUUACGGGUAGGGCUACACACGUGCUACAAUGGUCAGUACAAAGGGUUGCGAACUUGCGAGAGUGAGCCAAUCCCAGAAAGCUGAUCUCAGUCCGGAUCGGAGUCUGCAACUCGACUCCGUGAAGUCGGAAUCGCUAGUAAUCGUGAAUCAGAAUGUCACGGUGAAUACGUUCCCGGGCCUUGUACACACCGCCCGUCACACCAUGGGAGUGGACUGCACCAGAAGUGGUUAGCCUAACCUUCGGGAGGGCG